This 492-nucleotide ribosomal RNA is filed under the name uncultured bacterium. RNAcentral's name for it is "partial 16S ribosomal RNA". It matches the Rfam family "Bacterial small subunit ribosomal RNA", at positions 28 to 507 of the family's 1533-position model. The record is from RNAcentral.
GAUGAACGCUAGCUACAGGCUUAACACAUGCAAGUCGAGGGGAAACGACAUCGAAAGCUUGCUUUUGAUGGGCGUCGACCGGCGCACGGGUGAGUAACGCGUAUCCAACCUGCCCACCACUUGGGGAUAACCUUGCGAAAGUAAGACUAAUACCCAAUGAUAUCUAUAGAAGACAUCUGAAAGAGAUUAAAGAUUUAUCGGUGAUGGAUGGGGAUGCGUCUGAUUAGCUUGUUGGCGGGGUAACGGCCCACCAAGGCAACGAUCAGUAGGGGUUCUGAGAGGAAGGUCCCCCACAUUGGAACUGAGACACGGUCCAAACUCCUACGGGAGGCAGCAGUGAGGAAUAUUGGUCAAUGGACGAGAGUCUGAACCAGCCAAGUAGCGUGCAGGAAGACGGCCCUAUGGGUUGUAAACUGCUUUUAUAAGGGAAUAAAGUGAGUCUCGUGAGACUUUUUGCAUGUACCUUAUGAAUAAGGACCGGCUAAUUCCGUG